CCUGAUCAGCCAUGCCGCGUGUGUGAAGAAGGCCUUUUGGUUGUAAAGCACUUUAAGCAGGGAGGAGAGGCUAAUGGUUAAUACCCAUUAGAUUAGACGUUACCUGCAGAAUAAGCACCGGCUAACUCUGUGCCAGCAGCCGCGGUAAUACAGAGGGUGCGAGCGUUAAUCGGAAUUACUGGGCGUAAAGCGAGUGUAGGUGGCUCAUUAAGUCACAUGUGAAAUCCCCGGGCUUAACCUGGGAACUGCAUGUGAUACUGGUGGUGCUAGAAUAUGUGAGAGGGAAGUAGAAUUCCAGGUGUAGCGGUGAAAUGCGUAAAGAUCUGGAGGAAUACCGAUGGCAAAC
Molecule: ribosomal RNA, 346 nt
Filed under: uncultured bacterium
Lineage: Bacteria
Description: bacterial SSU rRNA
Rfam family: Bacterial small subunit ribosomal RNA
Source: RNAcentral